GACGAACGCUGGCGGCGUGCUUAACACAUGCAAGUCGAACGGAAAGGCCCUGCUUUUGUGGGGUGCUCGAGUGGCGAACGGGUGAGUAACACGUGAGUAACCUGCCCUUGACUUUGGGAUAACUUCAGGAAACUGGGGCUAAUACCGGAUAGGAGCUCCUGCUGCAUGGUGGGGGUUGGAAAGUUUCGGCGGUUGGGGAUGGACUCGCGGCUUAUCAGCUUGUUGGUGGGGUAGUGGCUUACCAAGGCUUUGACGGGUAGCCCGCCUGAGAGGGUGACCGGCCACCUUGGGACUGCGAUAGGGCCCAGACUCCUACGGGAGGCAGCAGGGGGGAAUAUUGCACAAUGGGCGGAAGCCUGAUGCAGCAACGCCGCGUGCGGGAUGACGGCCUUCGGGGUGUAAACCGCUUUCGCCGGUGACGAAGCGUGAGUGACGGUAAUGGGUAAAGAAGCACCGGCUAACUACGUG
This 468-nucleotide ribosomal RNA is filed under the name uncultured bacterium. RNAcentral describes it as "partial 16S ribosomal RNA". It matches the Rfam family "Bacterial small subunit ribosomal RNA", at positions 28 to 507 of the family's 1533-position model. The record is from RNAcentral.